This 492-nucleotide ribosomal RNA is filed under the name uncultured bacterium. RNAcentral's name for it is "partial 16S ribosomal RNA". It matches the Rfam family "Bacterial small subunit ribosomal RNA", at positions 28 to 507 of the family's 1533-position model. The record is from RNAcentral.
GAUGAACGCUAGCUACAGGCUUAACACAUGCAAGUCGAGGGGAAACGGCAUCGAAAGCUUGCUUUUGAUGGGCGUCGACCGGCGCACGGGUGAGUAACGCGUAUCCAACCUGCCCAUCACUUGGGAAUAACCUUGCGAAAGUAAGACUAAUGCCCAAUGACAUCCCACGAAGGCAUCCGAAUGGGAUUAAAGAUUUAUCGGUGAUGGAUGGGGAUGCGUCUGAUUAGCUUGUUGGCGGGGUGACGGCCCACCAAGGCAACGAUCAGUAGGGGUUCUGAGAGGAAGGUCCCCCACAUUGGAACUGAGACACGGUCCAAACUCCUACGGGAGGCAGCAGUGAGGAAUAUUGGUCAAUGGGCGAGAGCCUGAACCAGCCAAGUAGCGUGCAGGAUGACGGCCCUAUGGGUUGUAAACUGCUUUUAUAAGGGAAUAAAGUGGGUCACGUGUGACUUUUCGCAUGUACCUUAUGAAUAAGGACCGGCUAAUUCCGUG